This 250-nucleotide ribosomal RNA is filed under the name uncultured bacterium. RNAcentral describes it as "partial small subunit ribosomal RNA". It matches the Rfam family "Bacterial small subunit ribosomal RNA", at positions 26 to 285 of the family's 1533-position model. The record is from RNAcentral.
AGGACAAACGCUGGCGGCGUGCCUAAGACAUGCAAGUCGAACGGAAGGCUUCGGCCUUUAGUGGCGGACGGGUGAGGAGCGCGUGGAGAACCUGCCCCGGGGUGGGGGAUAACAGUCGGAAACGAUUGCUAAGACCGCAUACGACCAUUUGCCGCAGGGUGGGUGGGGAAAGCAGCAAUGCGCUUGGAGAGGAGUUCGCGGCCGAUUAGUUAGUUGGCGGGGUAAUGGCCCACCAAGACGAUGAUCGGUA